Molecule: ribosomal RNA, 492 nt
Filed under: uncultured bacterium
Lineage: Bacteria
Description: partial 16S ribosomal RNA
Rfam family: Bacterial small subunit ribosomal RNA
Source: RNAcentral
AGUGAACGCUGGCGGUAGGCCUAACACAUGCAAGUCGAACGGCAGCACAGUAAGAGCUUGCUCUUACGGGUGGCGAGUGGCGGACGGGUGAGGAAUACAUCGGAAUCUACUUUUUCGUGGGGGAUAACGUAGGGAAACUUACGCUAAUACCGCAUACGACCUACGGGUGAAAGCAGGGGAUCUUCGGACCUUGCGCGAUUGAAUGAGCCGAUGUCGGAUUAGCUAGUUGGCGGGGUAAAGGCCCACCAAGGCGACGAUCCGUAGCUGGUCUGAGAGGAUGAUCAGCCACACUGGAACUGAGACACGGUCCAGACUCCUACGGGAGGCAGCAGUGGGGAAUAUUGGACAAUGGGCGCAAGCCUGAUCCAGCCAUACCGCGUGGGUGAAGAAGGCCUUCGGGUUGUAAAGCACUUUUGUUGGGAAAGAAAAGCAGUAGGUUAAUACCCCGCUGUUCUGACGGUACCAAAAGAAUAAGCACCGGCUAACUUCGUG